GACGAAGGUGGCAAGCGUUGUUCGGAAUCACUGGGCUUAAAGGGCGCGUAGGCGGCUCAACAAGUGUCUUGUGAAAUCCCUCGGCUCAACCGAGGAAUGGCUAGGCAAACUGUUGGGCUUGAGGCAGGUAGAGGCGAGUGGAACUCUUGGUGGAGCGGUGGAAUGCGUAGAUAUCAAGAGGAACGCCGGUGGUGAAGACGACUCGCUGGGCCUGUCCUGACGCUGAGGCGCGAAAGCCAGGGGAG
Molecule: ribosomal RNA, 245 nt
Filed under: uncultured bacterium
Lineage: Bacteria
Description: partial 16S ribosomal RNA
Rfam family: Bacterial small subunit ribosomal RNA
Source: RNAcentral